This is a non-coding RNA of Podarcis lilfordi (Lilford's wall lizard), 76 nucleotides long. Lineage: Eukaryota; Metazoa; Chordata; Lepidosauria; Squamata; Lacertidae. The record is from the annotation of a GenBank genome assembly.
ACGGCGAUAGCUCAGUUGGUGGAGCUUGGGGCUCUUAAUCUCAGGGUCGUGGGUUCGAGAUUCCUGCAUCGCAGGG